UACCCCCAGCAAUGGGCAAAGAGACACCUUGUUGUGGUGCUCUUAUAUCAGUCAGAGGCAGAGCAGAUGGCCGUCCUUUGUUCAUCCUCGCUGGAUGCCUGGCUUGGUAGCCAAAGCUAUCUUAUACCUAGGACUCAUAA
This is a small nucleolar RNA of Rattus rattus (black rat), 140 nucleotides long. RefSeq annotates it as small nucleolar RNA SNORA48. The record is from RefSeq and is a predicted model, not a curated record. Lineage: Eukaryota; Metazoa; Chordata; Mammalia; Rodentia; Muridae. The transcript has a single exon.